GAUGAACGCUAGCUACCGGUUUAACACAUGCAAGUCGAGGGGCAGCAUGUCGGUUGCUUGCAACCGAUGAUGGCGACCGGCGCACGGGUGAGUAACGCGUAUCCAACCUACCCUUGUCCAUCGGAUAACCCGUCGAAAGGCGGCCUAACACGAUAUGCGGUUCACAGCAGGCAUCUAACGUGAACGAAAUGUGAAGGAGAAGGAUGGGGAUGCGUCUGAUUAGCUUGUUGGCGGGGUAACGGCCCACCAAGGCGACGAUCAGUAGGGGUUCUGAGAGGAAGGUCCCCCACAUUGGAACUGAGACACGGUCCAAACUCCUACGGGAGGCAGCAGUGAGGAAUAUUGGUCAAUGGACGGGAGUCUGAACCAGCCAAGUAGCGUGCAGGAUGACGGCCCUAUGGGUUGUAAACUGCUUCUAUAGGGGGAUAAAGUGUGCCACGUGUGGCAUAUUGCAGGUACCCUAUGAAUAAGGACCGGCUAAUUCCGUGCCAGCAGCCGCGGUAAUACGGAAGGUCCGGGCGUUAUCCGGAUUUAUUGGGUUUAAAGGGAGCGUAGGCCGUCUUAUAAGCGUGUUGUGAAAUGUCGUGGCUCAACCUGGGCAUUGCAGCGCGAACUGUGAGACUUGAGUGCGCAGGAAGUAGGCGGAAUUCGUCGUGUAGCGGUGAAAUGCUUAGAUAUGACGAAGAACUCCGAUUGCGAAGGCAGCCUGCUGUAGCGCAACUGACGCUGAAGCUCGAAAGCGUGGGUAUCGAACAGG
RNAcentral lists this ribosomal RNA (757 nucleotides) under uncultured bacterium. RNAcentral describes it as "bacterial SSU rRNA". It matches the Rfam family "Bacterial small subunit ribosomal RNA", at positions 28 to 776 of the family's 1533-position model. The record is from RNAcentral.